GAACGAAACCCUAGCCCCCUUUUUGUCCUUGUGGGUCAUUUUUAGCAUUUUGAAGGUGGUUUGGAGCUUGGGAGAAGAAGGANNNNNNNNNNNNNNNNNNNNNNNNNNNNNNNNNNNNNNNNNNNNNNNNNNNNNNNNNNNNNNNNNNNNNNNNNNNNNNNNNNNNNNNNNNNNNNNNNNNNUGCGCGGAAUUAACUGUGUAACGUAGUCCCGAAACCCCCAAACCCACGUAUGGGGUGUUCUGGUAAGGAUUGAAAGCGAGCAUGGGAUCUGCUCGAGGAACUCGGCGAGUUGGGACUCGAUUCGGCCCCAUAGUCCCGGGUAGCGAGUCAAGGGUGACUCAGUGAGUGGGGAGAGGGACCGGGUGAGUGGGACCGGAUCAGUGAGGGAUGGACUCGGCGAGUUGCUCGCGGACUCGGCGAGUCCAGUCAACUGGAAGUUGACUUUGACCUGGACUUGACUUGGUAAGGAGUAAAAAGGGUCAUUUUACCCUAAGAACAUCUAGCGGUGUUUGACUGAUCGUUUUGUGGGAAUUAUAGCCGAGGUACGUCCGGAGCAGCAGCAACAGCAGUAGACAGUCAAUUCCCACAUAGACCAGCAGCCUUUUCAAGGUGAGUUGCCUUCCAAUAGCAAUGGGUCUACGGCCACAAUGUCGGCCCACCAGUAGGAGUUGUAUGUAGAUGUUUGUCUCUGUGAUAUUCAUCUAGGGGUUACUACUACCUGUGCUAUGUUUAUGUGCUAAUAUGAUAUGAUGCUAUGUGUUAGUAGUGGUCGGGGAGAUAGUCCCCAAGAUAUCCGGUCGAUAGGGCCGAAGGGGUAGUUAUACCCAGUCAUGCUAGUUGGAUUCUGAUAUUGUGAUAUGUGCAAUGUGGUAGUAGUAGAGGGGGAGAGAUAGUCUCCAGUAUCCGGUUGAGAGGACCGAGGGGGGGGCCAGCACCCAUAUAUGCUAGGCAGUAUCCGGUCGAGAGGACCGAAGGGGAGGCCAGCACCCAGAUAUGCUUGGCAAUACCCGGUCUAGAGGACCGAAGGGGUAGGUCAGGCACCCAGAUAUGCCUGACAAUAUAUAUGUGUGUUAUGUGAUUAUUAUGGUAUGUGGUACGGUGGGGGAACUCACUAAGCUUCGUGCUUAUGGUUUUCAGUUUUGGUUUCAGGUACCUCCUCAGCUAGGGAAAAGGAGUCAGCGCGGUAGCAGCAUGUCACACACACACACACUCUCUUGUUUCCGCAGUUACGAGUUUAUUCUGGGAUUUAUACUCUGAUAUUUGAUUGAUCGAAUGUUGUGGUUUUCAAUUUGGUUUUCGAUGUGAAAUGGUUUAAUCAAACAAUGUUUUAACUAUUAAUGCUUUUGUGUAAUGUUUUAUAACGAAAUUUUUGGACGUAAAAAUUGGGUCGUUACAAGUUGGUAUCAGAGCCCUGGUUUGAGGGAUUCGGACACGCCUUCGGGGGUGUCUGAACUCAAAUCGAGGGAUUAAAAGAUUUUAUAAAAGAAAAUGUUUUCUAAAAAUUGAGAAAAGAGUUUUGAGAAAGAACGAAGUGUGUGAUGUGCGCGACCGGCCGAGCUCAAGUAAGUAUUCCCCAAAGUACCCAUACAAGUUUAUGUUAUGUUUAUCAGCUUUCGUAGAACAACAUGCUAGAAUAGGACUAAGGAUCUAGGAGUGAUGCCUUAUGUGCCUGCUUUAUGUGUUUCAGCUGUAUGAGAAUUGCAUUCUAGUAUUGAGUAGACAGCAAGUAGGAUAGUCUGAUUAGGUUAUGCCUGAUGGUAUGAGCUUAGCAUUGCAUGCUAGUAAAGUUCCUGUAAGCCGAUAGAGUUGAAUGAGAUUGUUCGCUUGGUUCGAAUGCUACUUUCUUUGUGCUUUGUGGGACUCUGAGUGGUGGGAGUUAGCCAUUAGGUGAAUACGUCACGUCACAUAUGAUCAGGGCUGAAUAAUCUUAGAGUGUUGGAUUUGGCCCUAUUGCGCAACUCUCGUUUGAGUCUAACCAUUGUAGGGGUGAGCCUGUUACUCGAAGGAUUAUCCGAGCCUCACCACAUGUGAUGGUGUUCAGGUAAUGGUUAAUUGGAACUACUAAGAGGCCUUCAGCAGCUGAGGACCUGGUAGGGUGGAGUCUGAGAUUUUCCUAGGGCAAGCCUAUGAUGAGUAUAGUAGUGAUCAGCCGUAGUGGAAGGGAUCUGGUGGAGUCGAGGCAGUCCUUGAAGAAGGUACGGAUAGAUGUGGAAGGUAGUAUGGGCCCGUACUACUGAAAGCAGAGGAUCCGUACCCGAACCAAGGAAGGCCAAGAUAAGACCAGGGAACUUGUAAGUAGUUAUGAUCCCUCAGGAAGUAUCAGUAUCACUAAUAUGUGUUAUUAUGUACUGCAGAAUGGUGAUACUUCGAUCGAGGCCGAUAGAUGGCGGUUCAGGAGAGGGGCCAGGUUCGGGAUCAGGUUCCGAGCAGGUAGAUGAGGGACUACGCGAGUUCAUCGCGUCAGAAAUCACCAGGGGUAUCCUCGAGUCGACUCCCAUCAUCUUCGGGUCGAUCAAGGAAGGGAUCAUCGAGUUGAUGGAGGAUCGCCUCAGGGCGUUCAGGAGCGACAUGGCAUCUGGCCAGUCGGGUCCUCGCACACUGUCCUUUAAGGACUUCAGGGGCAGUGGUGCGCCAGAUUUCCACGGGGUGAAAGACCCCAUUACUUCCAGGCGAUGGAUUGUUGACAUCGAGUCUGCACAGUUGACUAGCUUCUGCCCCGAGGGGUCGAAGGUGAGGUAUGCAGCAGGGUGUUUACGGGACCGAGCCCGGGAUUGGUGGGAGUCAGUGGGUGACUCGUUGGGAGCCUCAGCUAUCAAGGCUAUGACCUGGUCGGACUUUGUGACCAGGUUCAGGGCAGAGUUUGCGCCGGCUGUCGAGCUUCAGCAGCUAGCAAGGGAGUUUCUAGACAUGAGACAGAUGACAGAGACUGUGGCGAAGAUCACCGCCAAGUUCCGGGAGAGGGCCUUGUUGGUGCCCUAAUAUGCUGAUGACGAGGAUAUGAGGAGGACCCGUUAUCAUGAUAUGCUACGAGCCGACAUCCGGGAGCAUGUUAGCUUUUCGGCUUGCCCUACCCUGGACUCUAUGAUUGCCAGGGCGAGGGAGAGGGAGAUAGAUUUGGAACACAUUCGGAAACGGAAGGCAGAAGAGGGUCAGUCAGGAGGGGCUUCGGGGAAGAAGCCCAAGGGAUCAGAUGCGGGGCCGAAAGGCCAACAGGGACGGGGACGCUGCAGGAAAUGCGGCAAGGCGCACGAGGGGGCGUGCAGGUUGGGAUCAUCAGGCUGCUACAAGUGCGGCAAGUCUGGGCACUUUAGCAGGGAUUGCACUGCUCCGGCAGCAGUUAUUCAGACGUCUGAGUUGCUGUGUUUCCACUGCAACCAGAGGGGCCACAAGAAGGCCAAUUGCCCCCAGUUGACAGUUUCAGCGCCGGUGAAGGCGCCAGCUCCAGCGACCCUGCGGAUCACAGAUGGCCGGCAGGGCAAGGCAGAGGCUCCAGUGGUGAGGAGCCGGGCAUUUCAGCUGACUACCGAGGAGGCACGCGCCGCACCCGAUGUGGUGACGGGUAUGAUUCUUUCCCUCUAUUUUAUUUUUAUGAUGUUAUGAUAUUGAUAUGUGCUCCGUGUGUAUAUGUAUGCAUUAGGAUCGUUCCAUGUGAACGGCAUCCUAGUUCAGGUGUUGUUCGACUCGGGUGCGUCCCGAUCAUUUGUUUCCCUUGCGCUUAGCAAGAAGUUUCAGGAGUCUUCGGGCGAGUUAGAUUGCCCUUUAGAGGUAGAGAUUGCUGAUGAUCGAUCGGUGCGGGCAUCGAUGGUAUUUCGAGAUUGUGUACUGCGUUUGUUUGAGGAACGUUACUUGGUAGACUUGGUUCCCAUUCCGCUGCGUGGGAACAAGGUGAUUAUAGGCAUGGAUUGGUUGAGCCCUACUGGGGCAGUGAUAGAUUGCGCGCAGAAGCUAGUGCGAGUCAGGACCCCAGGUGGGGGAGAGUUAGUGAUUCAUGGCGAGAGGCCACAUGGCGGACCCACUGUAUGUUCAGCAGCGAGGGCUAGGCGCUAUUUUCAGCAGGGAUGCGCAAGAUAUGUCGCGUAUGUGACGGAUACCCGGGAGGCGGGUAAGACGACAGUGAGCGAGGUUCCGGUGGUUCAAGAUUUUGCAGAUGUUUUCCCGGAGGAGCUUCAUGUGAUACCUCCGGAGCGACAGGUGGAGUUCAGGAUUGACCUCGUUCCUGGUGCGGCUUCGAUAGCCAAGGCACCGUAUCGGUUGGCUCCUCCCGAGAUGCAGGAGUUGUCUACGCAGCUGCAGGAGCUGCUGGACAAGGGAUUUAUUCGGCCGAGCAGUUCGCCCUGGGGAGCCCCGAUUCUGUUUGUGAAGAAGAAGGAUGGGUCGCAUCGGAUGUGUAUAGAUUAUCGGGAGCUGAACAAGGUAACGGUGAAGAACCGUUACCCGCUUCCGAGGAUUGAUGACCUCUUUGACCAGCUUCAGGGCGCAUCUUGGUUCUCCAAGAUUGAUUUGCGUUCGGGUUAUCAUCAGAUGAGGGUCAGGGAGGAGGAUAUGCAGAAGACCGCGUUUCGGACGCGCUAUGGCCAUUACGAGUUUGUGGUGAUGCCGUUUGGGCUCACCAAUGCUCCUGCCGCGUUCAUGGACCUCAUGAACCGUGUAUGCAGACCGAUGCUGGACCGGUCUGUGAUAGUCUUUAUCGAUGAUAUCUUGGUUUAUUCCAAGACCCGGGAGGAACAUGAGGAGCAUUUGAGAGAGGUGUUAGAGACCCUGAGGAGGGAGAGCUUGUAUGCCAAGUUCUCCAAGUGUGAGUUUUGGUUGCGCGAGGUGCAAUUUCUGGGGCACCUCGUCAACCAGAACGGGAUUCUGGUCGAUCCGGCCAAGGUCGAGGCCGUGAUGAGAUGGGAGGUUCCGAAGUCCCCAUCUGAGAUUCGGAGCUUCCUAGGAUUGGCAGGCUACUAUCGGAGAUUUAUCCAGGAUUUCUCCAAGAUAGCCGUGCCCCUGACGCGGCUGACGAAGAAAGCCGUGGUCUUUCGGUGGGGACCCGAGCAGCAGGCUGCAUUUGAGACGCUGAGACAGAGAUUGUGUGAGGCGCCGAUCUUAGCCCUGCCAGAGGGCGUAGAGGAUUUUGUGGUUUAUUGCGAUGCGUCCAUUUCUGGGUUGGGCGCGGUGCUGAUGCAAAGGGGGCAUGUCAUUGCUUACGCUUCGAGGCAGCUCAAGCCUCACGAGGCGAACUACCCGACGCACGAUUUGGAGUUGGGGGCGGUGGUAUUUGCCCUCAAGAUUUGGCGACAUUACCUCUAUGGGGUUCGGUGUACCAUCUACACGGACCACAAGAGCUUGAGGUACCUCAUGGAUCAGCCGAAUCUGAACAUGAGGCAGCGUCGGUGGUUGGACGUGGUGAAAGAUUAUGAUUGCGAGAUCCUCUACCACCCGGGGAAGGCCAAUGUGGUGGCCAAUGUGCUUAGCCGCAAGGCGGCGCCGAUCAGGUACGUAUGCAUGAGGAUAACCGUGGUGACUCCCCUGUUGGAGCAAAUUCGGUAGGCUCAACAGGAGGCUAUCAAGGAGGAGCAUCGAAAGAGCGAGUGUGUGGUGGGUCAGGUUUCCUCCUUCGAUUAUGAUAGUCGAGGACUAUUGACACUACACCGAAGGGUGUGGGUGCCGUAUCACGGAGGCGUGCGCCAGAUUUUGAUGGAGGAGGAGCACAAGUCCUGAUUCUCUAUUCAUCCCGGGGCGACGGAGAUGUAUAGGGAUCUUCGUCUAGAUUAUUGGUGGCCCUGCAGGAAGGUCAAGGCCGAACAUCAGAGACCGCAUGGCAAGAUGCAUCCGUUGGAUAUUCCACUGUGGAAAUGGGAAGAUAUCACGAUGGAUUUUAUCACGAAGCUUCCCAGGACCGCGCGUGGAGUGGAUUCGAUUUGGGUCAUCGUGGAUAGAUUGACCAAGAGUGCUCACUUUAUUCCGAUUCCGGAGAGCAUAUCGGCCGAGAAAUUGGCCGACAUCUACAUCAGGGAGAUUGUGGCACGGCAUGGGGUGCCAGUAUCGGUGAUCUCGGACAGGGAUGUGCGUUUUACUUCCAGAUUUUGGAAGAGAUUCCAUGACGAGUUGGGCACUCGUUUGCAUUUUAGUACCGAUUUUCACCCGCAGAUGGAUGGCCAGAGCGAGCGGACCAUCCAGACUUUGGAGGAUAUGUUGCGGGCAUGUGUGUUGGAUUUCGAUGGUAGCUGGGAUACCUAUCUUCCCUUGGCCGAGGUCUCUUACAACAACAGCUACCACGCGAGUAUCGACCGCCCUCCAUUCGAGAUGUUGUAUGGACGGAGGUGCAGGACCCCGAUAUGCUGGGGUGAAGUUGGCCAGAGAGUCAUGGGGAGCACCGAAGUGGUGCUCAAGACGACCGAGAGGAUCCAGCAGGUUCGGAGCAGGCUUCAGACUGCUCAGAGUCGACAGAAGAGUUACGCCGACAAGCGUCGAUCCGACUUGGAGUUCCAAGUCGGGGAUAUGGUUCUCCUGAAGGUGUCGCCUUGGAAAGGCGUCAUUCGAUUCAGGAAGCGGGGCAAGUUGGGCCCGAGAUUCAUCGGACCGUUCAGGGUUGUAGCCCGGGUGGGCAAGGUGGCGUAUAGACUGGAUCUGCCAGUCGAGCUCAGCCAGAUCCACAACACUUUCCAUGUUUCUCAGCUGCGGAAGUGCCUAGUGGACGAUUCAGCAGUAGUGCCUUUAGAGGAUAUUCAGGUUGAUGACAGCCUGAAUUACAUUGAGCGCCCAGUCGCAAUCCUCGACAGGAAGUCGAAGGAUUUGAGGAACAAGAGGGUGGAGCUAGUGAAGGUGCAAUGGCAGCACCGCAAGGGUUCGGAAUGGACUUGGGAGCCGGUGGACGAGAUGAUGGAGCAUUAUCCCGAGCUGUUUCAGGAUCGAGCAGCAGACUUCGAGGACGAAGUCUAAAAUAAGUGGGGGAGAUUUGUAGCACCUGGUUCCUGGUAUGUAUUCUUGGUUAUUAAAUCUCCUUAUAUUGCAUGAUUAACCUUGGACUCGGCGAGUUGAAGGACUAACUCGCCGAGUAGAAGCGGGACUAGACGCGGGAUCUACUCGGUCUACUCGGCGAGUAGGUCCGAGGGACUCGGCGAGUAGACCCUGUCUGGACUUAAACCCUAACCCGGGUGUUUGCACCCUAUUUAAACGAUCUAACCCAGCCUCCAUUUCCCCUAGCACUCCCAGAGAUCUGUAGAACGAAACCCUAGCCCCUUUUGUGUCCUUGUGGGUGAUUUUUAGCAUUUUGAAGGUGGUUUGGAGCUUGGGAGAAGAAGGAGAAGGUUGAAGAGUGCAAGAAGGGAAGAAGAUCCGGAAUCUACUCUGUGAAGGGCUUCUAUUCAGGUAGAAAAGUUCCUACCUUGAUCUUUAGUUCAUUGAGUCCCCUUUUUGUCCCUAAAAAGAGGUUUUAAGCCCUAAGAACCUAAAUAUCUAUGUGUCUAUGGUUAAUGUUCUGCAAGGACUUCAGAUUUGGACCGUUUGGUCAUCCUAGUAGCAUAAAGUCUCUAUGGUUGAGGUGAUUGAGGUCCCCAUUGAGUAUAGGACCUCUUAAAGAGCUUGGAAUUGCAUGUUUGAGCUCAUAGGGCCAUGCAUGCACGUAAAGUUUGCAACUUUACGUGGUAAAUGAGCCCUAGGACCUUGG
This 7653-nucleotide long non-coding RNA is filed under the name Lactuca sativa (garden lettuce). Its description in RNAcentral is "long non-coding RNA (LSAT_LNC003397)". Lineage: Eukaryota; Viridiplantae; Streptophyta; Magnoliopsida; Asterales; Asteraceae. The record is from RNAcentral.